UUGCAGAAUUCAGUUAAUCAUCGAAUCUUUBAACGCACCUUGCACCCCUUGGUAUUCCGAGGGGUACGCCUGUUUUAGUGUCGUBAAAUCCUCAACCCUCCUCCUCUU
Molecule: ribosomal RNA, 108 nt
Filed under: Gloeocystidiellum clavuligerum
Lineage: Eukaryota; Fungi; Basidiomycota; Agaricomycetes; Russulales; Gloeocystidiellaceae
Description: partial 5.8S ribosomal RNA
Rfam family: 5.8S ribosomal RNA (bases 1-83)
About the family: 5.8S ribosomal RNA (5.8S rRNA) is a component of the large subunit of the eukaryotic ribosome.
Source: RNAcentral